Molecule: unclassified non-coding RNA, 357 nt
Filed under: soil metagenome
Description: partial contains 5.8S ribosomal RNA, internal transcribed spacer 2, and large subunit ribosomal RNA
Rfam family: 5.8S ribosomal RNA (bases 1-120)
Source: RNAcentral
GAUGAAGAACGUAGCGAAAUGCGAUAAGUAAUGUGAAUUGCAGAAUUCAGUGAAUCAUCGAAUCUUUGAACGCACAUUGCGCCCGCUGGUAUUCCGGCGGGCAUGCCUGUUCGAGCGUCAUUUCAACCCUCAAGCUCUCCGGAGUUUGGUGUUGGGGCGCCUGGGGCCUUUCGACCUCAGGGCCCUCAAGUCCAUCGGCGGGACCGCCAGGACACUGAGCGCAGUAGUAUUAUUUCGCUCGGUAGGAUCUUCCACGGCGGGUCGAUCUGGCCGCUAAACCCCCCAAUUCUCACCAAAGGUUGACCUCGGAUCAGGUAGGAAUACCCGCUGAACUUAAGCAUAUCAAUAAGCGGAGGA